RNAcentral lists this ribosomal RNA (449 nucleotides) under uncultured bacterium. RNAcentral's name for it is "partial 16S ribosomal RNA". It matches the Rfam family "Bacterial small subunit ribosomal RNA", at positions 29 to 523 of the family's 1533-position model. The record is from RNAcentral.
AAUGAACGCUGGCGGCAGGCCUAACACAUGCAAGUCGAACGGAUCCUUCGGGAUUAGUGGCGGACGGGUGAGUAACGCGUGGGAACAUACCCAAAGGUAAGGAAUAGCCUCGGGAAACUGGGAGUAAUACCGUAUGUGCUCGCAAGAGGAAAGAUUUAUCGCCUUUGGAUUGGCCCGCGUUGGAUUAGGUAGUUGGUGGGGUAAUGGCCUACCAAGCCGACGAUCCAUAGCUGGUUUGAGAGGAUGAUCAGCCACACUGGGACUGAGACACGGCCCAGACUCGUACGGGAGGCAGCAGUGGGGAAUCUUAGACAAUGGGGGAAACCCUGAUCUAGCCAUGCCGCGUGAUCGAUGAAGGCCUUAGGGUUGUAAAGAUCUUUCAGGUGGGAAGAUAAUGACUGUACCACCAGAAGAAGCCCCGGCUAACUCCGUGCCAGCCGCCGCCGUAA